Molecule: ribosomal RNA, 254 nt
Filed under: uncultured bacterium
Lineage: Bacteria
Description: partial 16S ribosomal RNA
Rfam family: Bacterial small subunit ribosomal RNA
Source: RNAcentral
UACGUAGGUGACAAGCGUUAUCCGGAUUUAUUGGGCGUAAAGCGCACGCAGGCGGUCUAUCAAGUCUGACGUGAAAUCUCUCGGCUUAACCGGGAGCGGUCGUUGGAAACUGAUGGACUUGAGGCGAUGAGAGGGUAGUGGAAUUCCCGGUGUAGUGGUGAAAUGCGUAGAUAUCGGGAAGAACACCUAUGGCGAAGGCAGCACUCUGGGACGGUACUGACGCUGAGACGCGAAAGCGUGGGGGAGCGAACAGG